This 468-nucleotide ribosomal RNA is filed under the name uncultured bacterium. RNAcentral describes it as "partial 16S ribosomal RNA". It matches the Rfam family "Bacterial small subunit ribosomal RNA", at positions 28 to 507 of the family's 1533-position model. The record is from RNAcentral.
GACGAACGCUGGCGGCGUGCUUAACACAUGCAAGUCGAACGGGAAGGCCCUUCUUUUGUGGCGUGCUCGAGUGGCGCACGGGUGAGUAACACGUGGGUAGCCUGCCCUUGACUUUGGGCUACCUUCAGGACACUGGGGCUAGUACCGGAUAGGAGCUCAUGCUCCAUGGUGGGGGUUGGAAACUUUGGGCGGUUGGGGAUGGGCACGCGGCUUAUCAGCUGGUUGGUGGGGUAGUGGCUUACCAGGGCUUUGACGGGUAGCCGGCCGGAGCGGGUGACCGGCAACAUUGGGACUGCGAUACGGCCCAGACUCCUACGGGAGGCAGCAGUGGGGAAGAUUGCACAACGGGGGGAAGCCGGAUGCAGCAACGCCGCGUGCGGGAUGACGGCCGUCGGGGUGUAGACAGCUUUCGCCUGCGAAGAAGCGUGAGUGACGGUAAUGGGUAAAGAAGCACCGGCUAACUACGUG